Molecule: ribosomal RNA, 624 nt
Filed under: uncultured bacterium
Lineage: Bacteria
Description: bacterial SSU rRNA
Rfam family: Bacterial small subunit ribosomal RNA
Source: RNAcentral
UGCAAGUCGAACGGCAGCGGGGGCUUCGGCCCGCCGGCGAGUGGCGAACGGGUGAGUAAUGCAUCGGAACGUACCCAGUCGUGGGGGAUAACUACGCGAAAGCGUAGCUAAUACCGCAUACGCCCUGAGGGGGAAAGCGGGGGACCUUCGGGCCUCGCGCGAUUGGAGCGGCUGAUGUCGGAUUAGCUAGUUGGUGGGGUAAAGGCCUACCAAGGCGACGAUCCGUAGCUGGUCUGAGAGGAUGAUCAGCCACACUGGGACUGAGACACGGCCCAGACUCCUACGGGAGGCAGCAGUGGGGAAUUUUGGACAAUGGGGGCAACCCUGAUCCAGCCAUUCCGCGUGAGUGAAGAAGGCCUUCGGGUUGUAAAGCUCUUUCAGCAGGAACGAAACGGUGGCCAAUAAUACUGGCUACUAAUGACGGUACCUGAAGAAGAAGCACCGGCUAACUACGUGCCAGCAGCCGCGGUAAUACGUAGGGUGCGAGCGUUAAUCGGAAUUACUGGGCGUAAAGCGUGCGCAGGCGGUUGUGUAAGACAGGUGUGAAAUCCCCGGGCUUAACCUGGGAACUGCGCUUGUGACUGCACGGCUAGAGUACGGCAGAGGGGGGUGGAAUUCCACGUG